AGACUGGGAUAACUUCGGGAAACCGGAGCUAAUACCGGAUAAUAUUUUGAACCGCAUGGUUCAAAAGUGAAAGACGGUCUUGCUGUCACUUAUAGAUGGAUCCGCGCUGCAUUAGCUAGUUGGUAAGGUAACGGCUUACCAAGGCAACGAUGCAUAGCCGACCUGAGAGGGUGAUCGGCCACACUGGAACUGAGACACGGUCCAGACUCCUACGGGAGGCAGCAGUAGGGAAUCUUCCGCAAUGGGCGAAAGCCUGACGGAGCAACGCCGCGUGAGUGAUGAAGGUCUUCGGAUCGUAAAACUCUGUUAUUAGGGAAGAACAUAUGUGUAAGUAACUGUGCACAUCUUGACGGUACCUAAUCAGAAAGCCACGGCUAACUACGUGCCAGCAGCCGCGGUAAUACGUAGGUGGCAAGCGUUAUCCGGAAUUAUUGGGCGUAAAGCGCGCGUAGGCGGUUUUUUAAGUCUGAUGUGAAAGCCCACGGCUCAACCGUGGAGGGUCAUUGGAAACUGGAAAACUUGAGUGCAGAAGAGGAAAGUGGAAUUCCAUGUGUAGCGGUGAAAUGCGCAGAGAUAUGGAGGAACACCAGUGGCGAAGGCGACUUUCUGGUCUGUAACUGACGCUGAUGUGCGAAAGCGUGGGGAUCAAACAGGAUUAGAUACCCUGGUAGUCCACGCCGUAAACGAUGAGUGCUAAGUGUUAGGGGGUUUCCGCCCCUUAGUGCUGCAGCUAACGCAUUAAGCACUCCGCCUGGGGAGUACGACCGCAAGGUUGAAACUCAAAGGAAUUGACGGGGACCCGCACAAGCGGUGGAGCAUGUGGUUUAAUUCGAAGCAACGCGAAGAACCUUACCAAAUCUUGACAUCCUUUGACAACUCUAGAGAUAGAGCCUUCCCCUUCGGGGGACAAAGUGACAGGUGGUGCAUGGUUGUCGUCAGCUCGUGUCGUGAGAUGUUGGGUUAAGUCCCGCAACGAGCGCAACCCUUAAGCUUAGUUGCCAUCAUUAAGUUGGGCACUCUAAGUUGACUGCCGGUGACAAACCGGAGGAAGGUGGGGAUGACGUCAAAUCAUCAUGCCCCUUAUGAUUUGGGCUACACACGUGCUACAAUGGACAAUACAAAGGGCAGCGAAACCGCGAGGUCAAGCAAAUCCCAUAAAGUUGUUCUCAGUUCGGAUUGUAGUCUGCAACUCGACUACAUGAAGCUGGAAUCGCUAGUAAUCGUAGAUCAGCAUGCUACGGUGAAUACGUUCCCGGGUCUUGUACACACCGCCC
Molecule: ribosomal RNA, 1274 nt
Filed under: Staphylococcus aureus
Lineage: Bacteria; Bacillati; Bacillota; Bacilli; Caryophanales; Staphylococcaceae
Description: bacterial SSU rRNA
Rfam family: Bacterial small subunit ribosomal RNA
Source: RNAcentral